Molecule: long non-coding RNA, 441 nt
Organism: Raphanus sativus (radish)
Lineage: Eukaryota; Viridiplantae; Streptophyta; Magnoliopsida; Brassicales; Brassicaceae
Exons: 3
Source: RefSeq, a predicted model, not a curated record
AAACACCCACUGUAGCUAAGAAAGAGUCCUUAACUAAGAGGAUUAAGGAUUGAGUCCUUAAUGUGCUGGCACCAAUUAUCUCUUCUCUUCACUUCACCAUGGCUGCUUCAGCUUCUUCUCUAGCUCUCUCUCUACCUUCACCCCCAAGUCCCUUCCUUUCUCCAUCUCCAGACCCGCCUCCGCUUCCCUCUCCUUCAAACUCCACUUCGAGUCCUCCGCUUCCCUCUCCGUCUCCAUCUCCGCCGUCGCGUUGAGACGAUUCGAUUAUCUCCGUCACACGCUGUCGAUUUCUUCCCGCCGCCACUGAAUGGGUGAAAGGCAAAGCUAUGGAGGAAGUCCUGACCAUCAAGAACACUGAAAUUGCGAAGCAUCUUUCUCUCCCACAAGUGAAGCUCCACUGCAGUAUGUUGGCGGAGGACGCCAUCAAGGCAGCUGUGAAGG